GUGCCAGCAGCAGCGGUAAUACAGAGGCCUCAAGCGUUGUUCGGAUUCAUUGGGCGUAAAGGGUGCGUAGGUGGCUUGUUAAGUUGAAGGUGAAAUCUCGGAGCUCAACUCCGAAACUGCCUUCAAUACUGGCGAGCUCGAGGACUGUAGAGGAGAAUGGAAUUCACGGUGUAGCAGUGAAAUGCGUAGAUAUCGUGAGGAAGACCAGUGGCGAAGGCGAUUCUCUGGGCAGUUCCUGACACUGAGGCACGAAGGCCAGGGAGCAAACGGGAUUAGAUACCCGGUAGUCCUGGCAGUAAACGGUGCACGUUGGUGUGGAGGAUUCGACCCUUCCGUGCCGGA
RNAcentral lists this ribosomal RNA (342 nucleotides) under uncultured Spartobacteria bacterium. RNAcentral's name for it is "bacterial SSU rRNA". It matches the Rfam family "Bacterial small subunit ribosomal RNA", at positions 505 to 850 of the family's 1533-position model. The record is from RNAcentral. Lineage: Bacteria; Pseudomonadati; Verrucomicrobiota; Spartobacteria.